GAUGAACGCUGGCGGCGUGCCUAAUACAUGCAAGUCGAGCGAACAGACGAGGAGCUUGCUCCUCUGACGUUAGCGGCGGACGGGUGAGUAACACGUGGAUAACCUACCUAUAAGACUGGGAUAACUUCGGGAAACCGGAGCUAAUACCGGAUAACAUGUUGAACCGCAUGGUUCAACAGUGAAAGACGGUCUUGCUGUCACUUAUAGAUGGAUCCGCGCCGCAUUAGCUAGUUGGUAAGGUAACGGCUUACCAAGGCAACGAUGCGUAGCCGACCUGAGAGGGUGAUAGGCCACACGGGAACUGAGACGCGGUCCAGGCGCCUAAGGGAGGCAGCAGAAGGGAAUCUGCCGCAAUGGGCGAAAGCCUGACGGAGCAGCGCCGCGUGAGUGAAGAAAGUCUUCGGAUCGUAAAACUCUGUUAUUAGGGAAGAACAAAUGUGUAAGUAACUAUGCACGGCUUGACGGUACCUAGUCAGAAAGCCACGGCUAACUACGUG
RNAcentral lists this ribosomal RNA (497 nucleotides) under uncultured bacterium. RNAcentral describes it as "partial 16S ribosomal RNA". It matches the Rfam family "Bacterial small subunit ribosomal RNA", at positions 28 to 507 of the family's 1533-position model. The record is from RNAcentral.